GACUCUUUAAGGACAAGUUAUGAUGAGGACCGAAAUAAAGUAGGGAAGUCCGCCAUGUCACGCUGCCAAGAAAAGCUUCUAGUUAGUGUUUACUUGCCCGUACCGCAACCAACACAGGUAGUCGAGGAGAGCAUCCUAAGGUGAGCGAGUGAACUCUCGUUAAGGAACUCGGCAAAAUGACCCCGUAACUUCGGGAGAAGGGUGCUCAGCGAAAGCUGAGCCGCAGUGAAUAGGCCCAGGCGACUGUUUAUCAAAACACAGGUUUCUGCAAAAUCGUAAGAUGACGUAUAGGGGCUGACGCCUGCCCGGUGCUGGAAGGUUAAAAGGAGUGCUUAGCGCAAGCGAAGGUAUGAAUUGAAGCCCCAGUAAACGGCGGCCGUAACUAUAACGGUCCUAAGGUAGCGAAAUUCCUUGUCGGGUAAGUUCCGACCCGCACGAAAGGCGUAACGAUCUGGGCACUGUCUCAACGAGAGACUCGGUGAAAUUUAAAGACCCGUGAAGAUGCGGGUUACCCGCGACAGGACGGAAAGACCCCAUGGAGCUUUACUGUAGCUUGAUAUUGAGUGUUUGUGCAGCUUGUACAGCAUAGGUAGGAGCCGUUGAAGUCGGAACGCUAGUUUCGAUGGAGGCACAGGUGGGAUACUACCCUCGUUGUAUGACCACUCUAACUCACACCACUAAGCGUGGUGGAAGACAGUGUCUGGCAGGCAGUUUGACUGGGGCGGUCGCCUCCUAAAAGGUAACGGAGGCGCCCAAAGGUUCUCUCAGAAUGGUUGGAAAUCAUUCGCAGAGUGUAAAGGCACAAGAGAGCUUGACUGUGAGACUGACUAGUCGAGCAGGUACGAAAGUAGGGCUUAGUGAUCCGGUGGUUCCGCAUGGAAGGGCCAUCGCUCAACGGAUAAAAGCUACCCUGGGGAUAACAGGCUUAUCUCCCCAAGAGUCCACAUCGACGGGAGGUUUGGCACCUCGAUGUCGGCUCAUCGCAUCCUGGGCUGUAGUCGGUCCCAAGGGUUGGGCUGUUCGCCCAUUAAAGCGGUACGCGAGCUGGGUUCAGAACGUCGUGAGACAGUUCGGUCCUAUCCGUCGCGGGCGUAGGAAAUUUGAGAGGAGUUGCCCUUAGUACGAGAGGACCGGGGUGAACGUACCUCUGGUGUAUCAGUUGUUCCGCCAGGAGCAUCGCUGAGUAGCUAUGUACGGAUGAGAUAAACGCUGAAAGCAUCUAAGUGUGAAACUCGCCUCGAGAUGAGAUUUCCCAUUCUUUAUGAAGUAAGACCCUUGUAGAUGACAAGGUAGAUAGGCUAGAAGUGGAAGUGCGGCGACGCAUGGAGCGGACUAGUACUAAUGGUUCGAGGACUUAACCAA
RNAcentral lists this ribosomal RNA (1362 nucleotides) under Weissella viridescens. RNAcentral describes it as "bacterial LSU rRNA". It matches the Rfam family "Bacterial large subunit ribosomal RNA", at positions 1544 to 2925 of the family's 2925-position model. Lineage: Bacteria; Bacillati; Bacillota; Bacilli; Lactobacillales; Lactobacillaceae. The record is from RNAcentral.